UCAUUCUUCUUCUUCAUUCAACUGUUCGUCCAUCAGUCGCUGCUCAAGCUUCACUGUAAGCUCUCUGCACUGGAACUUGUUCCCCAAUAAUGGACACAUAUGACGUCAGUCUGGGCCAGUUAUGGCACAGUUACAGCACCCGGAUGGGGUCUGUGGAUGUAGCCCAGGUGUCACAACACACCUGAAGUUUGGCCAAAUAAAUCUUCACAAUCGUUUAUUCAUCUGCCUAUAUAUCACUGCACCCACGUGACCUCUAAGGCCCCUAAACUGGACCUUCCUCUCAAAUAGAGGACACGUUUUACGGCAGCAGGUGUAGGUGUGUCUCUAAAUCACUGCACCUGCUUCUUCUGGGCCACUUUCAGCGUUUAUGACUCGCUUUGCGCACUCCAAAGUGUUCAGUGGGCCAGAUGUGAUCCGGCUGUCACCCCUGACAUCGAGGCCGUGUUAGGUGGAGCUGUGGCUGAUCCGAAGCAGUCAACAUUCAGAGCUACCUGUGCGUCAGGUGCAACCAUGUGUCGCUAAAGAGGCUCAAGGAGGGCGCAGCUGGCGCUAAAAGUGCGCGGGAAAGUGUUUGUUUUGUGUUUAGUGACUCUGCGUUAAGCGGAGUCGUGUCUGUGAAAUCAUCCCCAAAACACGCUGAUCGGUUUCCACAUUGCGCAACAGCUCAGACGCACUGCUGCUCUCCAAAGGUCUCUCCUUUAAUUCCCCAGCAGCAGGAGGGACGCUGGAGCAGCUCCGAGGAGCACCGACGCCAAAAACACGGGAGUGUCUGCGCACAGACAAGCCAGGAUAACGUGACAGCGCAGAGAUGAAAGGCAAAUACUGGGGCCCCAGACCACUGUGGGCCCCCGAGGGCUGAUCCCGGGAGGAGAAACAAAUCGCCUUGGAGAUCUGUUAUGAAGCUUUGACUAAGUUACUCUGAGCAGCAACGUGAAGGAUGUGCACCCAGCAUCCCCUGCAGGGAGGGGCCCCCUGUUCAUUUUUGCCCAGCGUCCCUGCAGACGCUAGAAUCUCCACUGCUUCCCACCACAGAUGUGAGCAGAGGUCUUAUUGGGCGCACUGCAGUGACGCUUUAAGGUUUGUCCAUCUUAAAGAGCUGAAUCAAAUUAAAGAGUCCUCCUCCCUCCAUUGUUUGUGUUCCACCUGUGCCUCCUGACUACACCUCCUUCUUCAAACCUCCUCUCCCCUGCAGAUACAUUACAGUGGUGUCACUGGUGUUGUGACCUUUCAGUAUUGUGUACAGAGACUGAUUUCUGGGUUACAGGCAAUAAAAAAGCCUUUGGUUUUCCUCUUAACGAUUUGAGUUUAGCUUCUUUUUAUUUCGGGUUGAAGUGAGUAAAGUUUC
Long non-coding RNA from Oreochromis niloticus (Nile tilapia), 1345 nucleotides. RefSeq lists it as uncharacterized. Lineage: Eukaryota; Metazoa; Chordata; Actinopteri; Cichliformes; Cichlidae. The transcript is spliced from 3 exons. The record is from RefSeq and is a predicted model, not a curated record.